AGAGUAUAGACUAUAUGGCUUUAGAUGGUUAGAGUAUAGACUAUAUGGCUUUAGGUGGUUAGAGUAUAGACUAUAUGGCUUUAGGUGGUUAGAGUAUAGACUAUAUGGCUUUAGGUGGUUAGAGUAUAGACUAUAUGGCUUUAGGUGGUUAGAGUAUAGACUAUAUGGCUUUAGGUGGUUAGAGUAUAGACUAUAUGGCUUUAGGUGGUUAGAGUAUAGACUAUAUGGCUUUAGGUGGUUAGAGUAUAGACUAUAUGGCUUUAGAUGGUUAGAGUAUAGACUAUAUGGCUUUAGAUGGUUAGAGUAUAGACUAUAUGGCUUUAGAUGGUUAGAGUAUAGACUAUAUGGCUUUAGAUGGUUAGAGUAUAGACUAUAUGGCUUUAGUCAGGUGGUUAGAGUAUAGACUAUAUGGCUUUAGUCAGGUGGUUAGAGUAUAGACUAUAUGGCUUUAGUCAGGUGGUUAGAGUAUAGACUAUAUGGCUUUAGAUGGUUAGAGUAUAGACU
This is a long non-coding RNA of Oncorhynchus keta (chum salmon), 504 nucleotides long. RefSeq lists it as uncharacterized. The transcript is spliced from 3 exons. The record is from RefSeq and is a predicted model, not a curated record. Lineage: Eukaryota; Metazoa; Chordata; Actinopteri; Salmoniformes; Salmonidae.